RNAcentral lists this ribosomal RNA (404 nucleotides) under bacterium enrichment culture clone ALO1_GLFRUDD03GHVAI. Its description in RNAcentral is "bacterial SSU rRNA". It matches the Rfam family "Bacterial small subunit ribosomal RNA", at positions 9 to 416 of the family's 1533-position model. The record is from RNAcentral.
GAGUUUGAUCCUAGCUCAGAUUGAACGCUGGCGGCAUGCCUUACACAUGCAAGUCGAACGGCAGCACGGGAGCUUGCUCCUGGUGGCGAGUGGCGAACGGGUGAGUAAUGCAUCGGAACGUAUCCUGGAGUGGGGGAUAACGUAGCGAAAGUUACGCUAAUACCGCAUAUUCUGUGAGCAGGAAAGCGGGGGACCUUCGGGCCUCGCGCUCUUGGAGCGGCCGAUGUCGGAUUAGCUAGUUGGUGAGGUAAAGGCUCACCAAGGCGACGAUCCGUAGCAGGUCUGAGAGGAUGAUCUGCCACACUGGAACUGAGACACGGUCCAGACUCCUACGGGAGGCAGCAGUGGGAAUUUGGACAAUGGGGCAACCCUGAUCCAGCCAUGCCGCGUGAGUGAAGAAGGCC